AUAUUAUUGCAGAAAGACUGUGAAUGGUGCUAAUAAUAUCCCAGAAGUUAUGAUUAGAGAUGCAGAGUCAGCAAUACAACGUCUUUCGGCUAUUGUUCGAGAAGCUAUUGAUCGCAAAAAAUCAGAGUCGUU
Camelina sativa (false flax) is the source of this 132-nucleotide non-coding RNA. The record is from RefSeq and is a predicted model, not a curated record. Lineage: Eukaryota; Viridiplantae; Streptophyta; Magnoliopsida; Brassicales; Brassicaceae.